RNAcentral lists this ribosomal RNA (492 nucleotides) under uncultured bacterium. RNAcentral's name for it is "partial 16S ribosomal RNA". It matches the Rfam family "Bacterial small subunit ribosomal RNA", at positions 29 to 507 of the family's 1533-position model. The record is from RNAcentral.
AGUGAACGCUGGCGGUAGGCCUAACACAUGCAAGUCGAACGGCAGCACAGUAAGAGCUUGCUCUUACGGGUGGCGAGUGGCGGACGGGUGAGGAAUACAUCGGAAUCUACUUUUUCGUGGGGGAUAACGUAGGGAAACUUACGCUAAUACCGCAUACGACCUACGGGUGAAAGCAGGGGAUCUUCGGACCUUGCGCGAUUGAAUGAGCCGAUGUCGGAUUAGCUAGUUGGCGGGGUAAAGGCCCACCAAGGCGACGAUCCGUAGCUGGUCUGAGAGGAUGAUCAGCCACACGGGAACUGAGACACGGUCCAGACUCCUACGGGAGGCAGCAGUGGGGAAUAUUGGACAAUGGGCGCAAGCAUGAUCCAGCCAUACCGCGUGGGUGAAGAAGGCCUUCGGGUUGUAAAGCCCUUUUGUUGGGAAAGAAAAGCAGCAGGUUAAUACCCCGCUGUUCUGACGGUACCCAAAGAAUAAGCACCGGCUAACUUCGUG